UUACCACAAAGUUGACCCUUUUAAAAUAGAAAAAUUAAAAGUUAGAUGUAUAGAAAGGCCAAUAGGUUCGUAGGCAUAAUUAUUCCUAUUAUGUAAAAGAGCUGCUUUGAGGAAAACUGUGAGAGAAAAAAAAUUUUAAAUUGAUGAUGCUUAGUGAAUUGAAACUAGUGCCAUAUUUAUUCUCAUUAUUCAAAACUGCUUUAGGAAAGAUUUUAAAUGAAAAACUUUGUUAGGGGCUGCAAGAAUAUAAUUUUUUAGAACUGCUAGACAUGGAAAAGUUUGGGAACCUGUGUCUUAGAAGAUGAUAUUGUGAAGUUCAGUUUUGAACUAAUAAAGAAUACUGUAUAUGUACAUAUAAAAAAAUCUAAUAUCUA
Molecule: long non-coding RNA, 374 nt
Filed under: Stegodyphus dumicola
Lineage: Eukaryota; Metazoa; Arthropoda; Arachnida; Araneae; Eresidae
Description: uncharacterized LOC118181788
Source: RNAcentral